ACUAAAAUAAUAACUCAAGAUCCGACAUCACAACGAAAUAAUAAUUCAAGAUCCAACAUCAUACCAAAAUAAUAAUCUAAGAUUCGACAUCGUAUAUACCAAAAUAAUAAUUCAAGAUCCGACAGGUCAAGUAAUAUACAUAAAAGCAAAAUAUCAAGAUAAUGUUUGACCAUUCAAGAGGUGGAACACACAAGUCUUCAAUUUUCAAAAAAAUUAACCCAAUC
This is a long non-coding RNA of Lycium ferocissimum, 224 nucleotides long. RefSeq lists it as uncharacterized. The record is from RefSeq and is a predicted model, not a curated record. Lineage: Eukaryota; Viridiplantae; Streptophyta; Magnoliopsida; Solanales; Solanaceae. The transcript has 2 exons.